CAGAUUGCACACUGAGUUUUUGGUAUAGGUGUUCUGGGGCUAAUGAUCUAUGAAGAAAGGAGGUGGAACUGAGGAGUCUAAAAUUCCUGAGAACUCUGUUUUUUAUGAUUACGUUGGGAAUAAUCCGGCAAAAUGAGGAUCAUUCAGUGUAGGUUCAAUGGAUAACGGGGAUGGGAUAGCUGCUUGAAAAUUGCUAAUCAUGCUUCUUUUAUUUGGUUUAAUAAUUGAUGGAAACAGGUUAAGAAGUUUCAUCCUGAUG
RNAcentral lists this unclassified non-coding RNA (259 nucleotides) under Hevea brasiliensis (rubber tree). The record is from RNAcentral. Lineage: Eukaryota; Viridiplantae; Streptophyta; Magnoliopsida; Malpighiales; Euphorbiaceae.